This 591-nucleotide ribosomal RNA is filed under the name uncultured bacterium. RNAcentral's name for it is "partial 16S ribosomal RNA". It matches the Rfam family "Bacterial small subunit ribosomal RNA", at positions 355 to 1376 of the family's 1533-position model. The record is from RNAcentral.
UGGGGAAUAUUGGACAAUGGGCGCAAGCCUGAUCCAGCAAUGCCGCGUGUGUGAAGAAGGCCUUCGGGUUGUAAAGCACUUUUAUCAGGAGCGAAACGCUGUCGGCUAAUACCCGGCGGAACUGACGGUACCUGAGGAAUAAGCACCGGCUAACUUCGUGCCAGCAGCCGCGGUAAUACGAAGGGUGCAAGCGUUAAUCGGAAUUACUGGGCGUAAAGCGUGCGUAGGCGGUUUCUUAAGUCUGCUGUGAAAUCCCCGGGCUCAACCUGGGAAUGGCAGUGGAUACUGGGAGGCUAGAGUGUGUCAGAGGGUGGUGGAAUUCCCGGUGUAGCGGUGAAAUGCGUAGAGAUCGGGAGGAACAUCAGUGGCGAAGGCGGCCACCUGGGACAACACUGACGCUGAGGCACGAAAAGCGUGGGGAGCAAACAGGAUUAGAUACCCUGGUAGUCCACGCCCUAAAAGCGAUGCGAACUGGAUGUUGGUCUCAACUCGGAGAUCAGUGUCGAAGCUAACGCGUUAAGUUCGCCGCCUGGGGAGUACGGUCGCAAGACUGAAACUUAAAUGAAUUGACGGGGUCAUAGCUGUUUCCUG